Molecule: ribosomal RNA, 1306 nt
Filed under: Dyscolus rotundiceps
Lineage: Eukaryota; Metazoa; Arthropoda; Insecta; Coleoptera; Carabidae
Description: 12S ribosomal RNA
Rfam family: Archaeal large subunit ribosomal RNA (bases 1075-1233)
Source: RNAcentral
AUUAAAAAUUUAUUAUUAUAUGUUUAUUUUUUUUUGUUUAAUAAAAAUAAUUUUAUUAAUUUAUUUUUUAAGUAUAUUUUAUAGAAAAAAUUUUGUUAAUUAUAGUUUAUUUGUAUUGUAAAAGAUAAUUGAAAUAAUCUAUAAAUUAUUUAAAAGUAGAAUUUAGUUUUUGUACCUUGUGUAUCAGGGUUUAUUAAAUAAAUAUUAAUUAUUUUAAUUUUCUCGAUUUUAAGAGAGCUAAUAAAAUAUUUUUUUUAUUGUAAAAAAACUAUUUAAAAUAUUUUAUUGGUAAUGAAACGUUAUUCGUUCUUAAAAAUAUCUAGUUUAUUUAGAAAUGAAUUUAAUUCAAAUAUUUUAAUUUUAAUAAGUUAAUUUAUUAAUUUAUUAAAUUUUAAUAUUAAUAAUUAAAGGGAUGAGCUUUUAAUUAAAAAUUUAUAAGUUAAGUAAUAAUUUUAAAAAAUGUAAGUUUAGAAAUAUCUAUCAAUAAUAAUUUGUUAUAAUUAAUUUAAUAUUAAAAUAUUAUUUUAUAUAACUUUAAAUUUUUUAUAAAUAAAUAAUUUUUAAUGUUCUAAAAUUAGAUAUAAUGAUAGAAUUAGUAUAUAUUUUAAAUAUUUAAAUAAUAAUAUAAAAAAGAUUAUUUAAAGGAAUUCGGCAAAAAUUUUACUCGCCUGUUUAACAAAAACAUGUCUUUUUGAUAUAUAUAUAUAAAGUCUAGUCUGCCCACUGAAAUUUUUAAAUGGCCGCAGUAUUUUGACUGUGCAAAGGUAGCAUAAUCAUUAGUUUUUUAAUUAAAAGCUCGUAUGAAAGGCUGGACGAAGUAAAAUCUGUCUCUAUUUAAUUUAAAUUAGAAUUUAAUUUUUAAGUCAAAAAGCUUAAAUAUUAAUAAAAGACGAGAAGACCCUAUAGAGCUUUAUAAUUUAUUUAAUAUAAUUAAUUAAGAUUAAUUUAGGUUUUAUUAAUAUAAUUAUUUUAUUGGGGUAAUAGGAAGAUUAAAUAAAUUCUUUUUUUUUAUUUACAUUAAUGUAUGAAAUAAAUGAUCCAUUUUUAAUGAUUAUAAGAUUAAGUUACCUUAGGGAUAACAGCGUAAUUUUUUUAGAGAGUUCAUAUCGAUAAAAAAGUUUGCGACCUCGAUGUUGGAUUAAAGAUUAGUUUAGGUGUAGAAGUUUAAAUUUUUGGUCUGUUCGACCAUUAAAUCUUUACAUGAUCUGAGUUCAGACCGGCGUAAGCCAGGUCGGUUUCUAUCUUUAUUUAAUUAAAAUAUUUUAGUACGAAAGGACCAAAUAUUUAAUAUAUUUAUAUUUAUAUU